This 447-nucleotide ribosomal RNA is filed under the name uncultured bacterium. RNAcentral describes it as "partial 16S ribosomal RNA". It matches the Rfam family "Bacterial small subunit ribosomal RNA", at positions 329 to 792 of the family's 1533-position model. The record is from RNAcentral.
UUCCAGACUCCUACGGGAGGCAGCAGUGGGGGAUAUUGCACAAUGGGGGGAACCCUGAUGCAGCGACGCCGCGUGGGUGAAGAAGCGCCUCGGCGCGUAAAGCCCUGUCAGCAGGGAAGAAAAUGACGGUACCUGAAGAAGAAGCCCCGGCUAACUACGUGCCAGCAGCCGCGGUAAUACGUAGGGGGCAAGCGUUAUCCGGAUUUACUGGGUGUAAAGGGAGCGUAGGUGGCAUGGCAAGCCAGAAGUGAAAACCCGGGGCUUAACCCCGCGGAUUGCUUUUGGAACUGUCAGGCUGGAGUGCAGGAGGGGCAGGCGGAAUUCCUGGUGUAGCGGUGAAAUGCGUAGAUAUCAGGAGGAACACCGGUGGCGAAGGCGGCCUGCUGGACUGCAACUGACGUUGAGGCCCGAAAGCGUGGGGAGCAAACAGGAUUAGAUACCCCGGUA